Molecule: transfer RNA, 72 nt
Filed under: Saccoglossus kowalevskii
Lineage: Eukaryota; Metazoa; Hemichordata; Enteropneusta; Harrimaniidae
Description: tRNA-Thr
Rfam family: tRNA
About the family: Transfer RNA (tRNA) molecules are approximately 80 nucleotides in length.
Source: RNAcentral
GCCUCAGUGGCCAAGUGGUAAGGCGUCGAUAUCGUAAACCGAAGAUCAUGGGUUCAACCCCCAUCUAAGGCU